Molecule: ribosomal RNA, 253 nt
Filed under: uncultured bacterium
Lineage: Bacteria
Description: partial 16S ribosomal RNA
Rfam family: Bacterial small subunit ribosomal RNA
Source: RNAcentral
GACAGAGGUGCCGAGCGUUAGGCGGAAUCACUGGGCUUAAAGCGUGUGUAGGCGGGCCGUUAAGUAUCUUGUGAAAUCCCCCGGCUCAACCGGGGAAUGGCUGGAUAUACUGGCGGUCUUGAGCGAUCUAGGGGCAGAUGGAACAGACGGUGGAGCGGUGAAAUGCGUAGAUAUCGUCUGGAACGCCAAAGGUGAAGACAGUCUGCUGGGGAUCUGCUGACGCUGAGGGACGAAAGCUAGGGGAGCAAACAGG